Molecule: ribosomal RNA, 27 nt
Filed under: Phytophthora capsici
Lineage: Eukaryota; Oomycota; Peronosporomycetes; Peronosporales; Peronosporaceae
Description: partial 28S ribosomal RNA
Source: RNAcentral
UGGACCUGAUAGCAGACAAAGAAACCU